GAUGAACGUUGGCGGUGCGCUUAAUGCAUGCAAGUCGAGGGAGAACCAUUCGUUCCGUAAGGAUCGGGUGGGAAACCGGCGAACGGGUGCGUAACACGUGAGGAACCUGCCCCGAAGAUCGGGAUAGCCCGGGGAAACCCGGAUUAAUACCGAAUACCUUCCCACCUCCGCAUGGUGGAGGGAAGAAAGAGUCCGCUGCUUCGGGAUGGCCUCGCGGCCUAUCAGCUUGUUGGUGAGGUAACGGCUCACCAAGGCGAAGACGGGUAGCUGGUCUGAGAGGACGAUCAGCCACACUGGGACUGAGACACGGCCCAGACUCCUACGGGAGGCAGCAGCAGGGAAUAUUGCACAAUGGGCGAAAGCCUGAUGCAGCGACACCGCGUGCGGGAUGAAGGCCUUCGGGUUGUAAACCGCUUUCAGGAGGGACGAAAAUGACGGUACCUCCAGAAGAAGGCCCGGCCAACUACGUG
This 470-nucleotide ribosomal RNA is filed under the name uncultured bacterium. RNAcentral's name for it is "bacterial SSU rRNA". It matches the Rfam family "Bacterial small subunit ribosomal RNA", at positions 28 to 507 of the family's 1533-position model. The record is from RNAcentral.